GUGGGGAAUUUUGGACAAUGGGCGCAAGCCUGAUCCAGCAAUGCCGCGUGAGUGAAGAAGGCCUUCGGGUUGUAAAGCUCUUUUGUCAGGGAAGAAACGGCUGCGGCUAAUAUCUGCGGCUAAUGACGGUACCUGAAGAAUAAGCACCGGCUAACUACGUGCCAGCAGCCGCGGUAAUACGUAGGGUGCAAGCGUUAAUCGGAAUUACUGGGCGUAAAGCGUGCGCAGGCGGUUUUGUAAGUCUGUCGUGAAAGCCCCGGGCUCAACCUGGGAAUUGCGAUGGAGACUGCAAGGCUUGAAUCUGGCAGAGGGGGGUAGAAUUCCACGUGUAGCAGUGAAAUGCGUAGAGAUGUGGAGGAACACCGAUGGCGAAGGCAGCCCCCUGGGUCAAGAUUGACGCUCAUGCACGAAAGCGUGGGGAGCAAACAGGAUUAGAUACCCGGGUAGUCC
Molecule: ribosomal RNA, 450 nt
Filed under: uncultured bacterium
Lineage: Bacteria
Description: partial 16S ribosomal RNA
Rfam family: Bacterial small subunit ribosomal RNA
Source: RNAcentral